CUCCAUUGAGGAGAUGUGGACACAGAGAGCCCAGGUCACCUCCAUCCACUGGAGCAGCAAGACCAUGGACGCACUCCAGAGAAGGAACAAGCCGGUCUGGCAGACUGGCCUGUUUACAGGGAGAACCUGGCCAGGGCCUCAGGUGGUUUCAGCACUCGCCCUCCCUCCAUCUGUCUGACUAAUGUUCCCAUCUGCCAGCCUCAGGUGAGAGAUGGCAGCGUCUUCCGCUGUUGCCCCAACGAGCGGCUUGUUUGCGGUGUAACUGCCUGAUGGUAUCUCGCACAGUGCUUUGGCUGGAGAGGGCCUCUUCCUGGCCCCACGUCCCUCCUAUGGUAAGAGAAGAUGAGGGACAAUGUCAUCAACAGAACCUGUUGCCCAGCCUGGCUUAUCCUCUAACACCAGCUGUGUGAACCACCACCACCAACCCACCAUUUCACCAUGCCUCAGUUUCCUAACCUGUAAAAUGGGAUAAUAGUAUGAAGAGUCCUGUGACAUUAAAUGAGAUCAUGUAUGCCAGUGUGCUGGGACACAGAGCCCGAUGUCUUCUUCCUCUUCCUGCAUCUGUCCCCUCAAUCCUGUAUUCCCCAAGGACUGUCUCCUGGGCAGCAACCAGGUACAUUGGAUCAGAAUACUAACAAAGGCCUAAGAAACAAAGGAGGGAGAAGAACGAGGCCUCUCAGGAUGCUCUGAGCUGAUGGGAGAGAGACAUUUGUGUGUGUGUGUGUGUGUGUGUGUGUGUGUGUGUGUGUACAGGGAGCAUUGCUCAAGCAGGAGAGAGGAGUCCAGAUGUGUGUAUCCAGGCUAGACGGUGACUACUGUAAUGUCUUCUUAGCAGGCAGGAGCAACCAACAAAUUCAUUAAUUUCCUGUUUACACAUCUAUUGUCAAAGCUAAUAAUUUGAUUUAACGAGGCUGAUUACCUUCAUUAAAAACUAUUAGUUCCCAUAAGCAAACGUUCUUGUGUUUGCAUUUUCAUAAUUAUGUUGGCAUUUCACAAUGUGCUUUGCAAGGGAGGCCUGUGCUCAAACUCAGCCUCAUCCACCCAGCUCGGGGCUCUCUCUGGGCUGACCUCCUUAGCCCUGGCGCUUUGCUAGGCGCUGUGGGGCAGUGGGAAACAAGACAGGCCUCAUUGUCCUUUGC
This is a long non-coding RNA of Myotis lucifugus (little brown bat), 1139 nucleotides long. RefSeq lists it as uncharacterized. The transcript has 3 exons. The record is from RefSeq and is a predicted model, not a curated record. NCBI's taxonomy places the organism in Eukaryota, Metazoa, Chordata, Mammalia, Chiroptera, Vespertilionidae.